AACAUACCGGUCACAACAAAAUAUCGUGAACCAUGUCAGGCGGGGAACCGAGCAGCAUUAAGCGAACAUUUUGUGUGUAGAUGCUGGUGUUUUCUG
Molecule: signal recognition particle RNA, 96 nt
Filed under: Oscillospiraceae bacterium
Lineage: Bacteria; Bacillati; Bacillota; Clostridia; Eubacteriales; Oscillospiraceae
Description: signal recognition particle sRNA small type
Rfam family: Bacterial small signal recognition particle RNA
About the family: The signal recognition particle (SRP) is a universally conserved ribonucleoprotein involved in the co-translational targeting of proteins to membranes. Archaeal SRP consists of a 7S RNA and homologues of the eukaryotic SRP19 and SRP54 proteins. In most bacteria, the SRP consists of a 4.5S RNA and the Ffh protein (a homologue of the eukaryotic SRP54 protein).
Source: RNAcentral